RNAcentral lists this ribosomal RNA (2671 nucleotides) under Conticribra weissflogii. Its description in RNAcentral is "partial Bacterial large subunit ribosomal RNA". It matches the Rfam family "Bacterial large subunit ribosomal RNA". The record is from RNAcentral. Lineage: Eukaryota; Bacillariophyta; Thalassiosirophyceae; Thalassiosirales; Thalassiosiraceae.
GAAUUAUAAUUUUUCUAAUCGGAAAAGAGUUUUAAUAAAUUUAAACAGAUUUUAAUUGAUUGUCAAUUAAAAUUUUUUGAAGCUAGUGAACUGAAUCAUCUAAGUAACUAGAAAAAAAAUCAACCGAGAGACUGUUAGUAGUGGCGAACAAAAGCGGUAAAAGACUAAUUUUUAAAUAUCAUUAAAUAAAUAGAUUUAAUAGUAAUACAGCCAAAGAAGGUAACACUAUGCAAUUAUGUGAUAGCCCUGUAAAAUCUAUUUUACAAUUUAAAAAUACAAAGUAAAAUUACACAUGUCAUGUGUUGUUUUAAUAUUGGGGUCCCACCCUCAAAGUCUAAAAAAUUUUAAUGAUUGAUAGCGAAUAAGUACCGUAAGGGAAAGGUGAAAAAGAAUUUGUGAAAUUUAAAAGAACUUGAAAUUUAAUGUUGACAAUCAGUUGUAGCUUAUUAUUAAAGUGACAGCGUUCCUUUUGCAUAAUGAAUCAAUGAGUUUAUAUCAAUGGCGAGCUUAAGUUCAAAAUGUAGGCUAAAAAAAAUUAAGUAUUAAAUUGCGUUUUUUGUUAAAACUAUUUUUAUACACAUAUGUUUAGUCUUUGAUAUAAGACCCGAAACUAAGUGAUCUAACCAUGAACAGGCUGAAUUUAAAGCGGUAACGCUUAUUGAAGGGCCGAACUCGUGUAUGUAGAAAAAUACUGAGAUGAUUUGUGGUUAGGGGUGAAAGGCCAAUCAAACUUAGAGAUAGCUGGUUUUCUGCGAAAUCUAUUUAAGUAGAGCGUUUAAAAUUCUUUGUUUUAAGGUAGAGCACUCGAUAAAUAAAGGGGACGUAAAGUUUUACUGCAUUUAAUGAAACUCCGAAUAUAAAAUUAAAAGAUUUUAAACAGACAGACUAUGAGUGCUAAGAUUCAUAGUCAAAAGGGAAACAGCCCAGAUUAUUUGUUAAGGCCCUUAAAAAUAAUUAAGUGAAAAAGAAGGUAAAAAAAUUUUAACAAUCCAUAUGUAGGCUUGGAAGCAGCCACCCUCUUAAGAAAGCGUAACAGCUCGCUGGUUUAGUUUUUUAGCAUCGAAAAUGUACAGGGACUAAAAUUAUUUGCCGAAACAAUAAAUUUAAGUUAAUCUAAGUUAAUUUAAAUGGUAGCAGAACGUUUUGUAAAUUAAAGAAAACUUAUAAUGAUAUAAGUUGGAAAAAUCAAAAACGAAAAUAUUGAUAUGAGUAGCGAAAAACAAUGUGAAUAAUAAACAUUGUCACCUUAAGUUCAAGGUUUUUAAGGAAAGGCUAAUCCUCCUAAAACUAAAUCGGUCCCUAAGACAAAAACGAAAGUUAUAGUUAAUGGGUAAUAAUUUUUUAUUAUAUUUUAAAGUGACAAAAUAUGAAUUUAAUCUUCAUUUUUGAUUUUAAUUGAAGGUUUUUUAAUAUUUUCAGGAAAAAGCUUAAAAUAAUACCGUACCGUAAACCGACACAGGUGAACAAAUUUAGUAAAUUAAGGUGCUUGAGUUAAUUGUAUUGAAGGAACUCGGCAAAAUGACUCUGUAACUUCGGGAUAAGGAGUAGCUUUUUUUGGUAAUUAACCUUAAAAAGCUGUCACAAAAUCGAGGACAGCGACUGUUUAAUAAAAACACAGGUCUUUGCUAAUUUGAAAAAAGAUGUAUAAAGACUGACGCCUGCCCGGUGCUGUAAGCUUAAAAGUAAAAGUUUUGGCUUUUACUCUAACCCCCAGUAAACGGCGGCUGUAACUCUGACGGUCCAAAGGUAGCGAAAUUCCUUGGCAUUUAAUUGGUGUCCCGCAUGAAUGGCGUAACGACUGUCCUACUGUCUCCAAUACAAUCUCAGUGAAAUUGAAAUGUCUGUGAAGAUGCAGACUACUUACGGCUAGACGGAAAGACCCUGUGCACCUUUACUAUAGUUAUAAAUUGUAAUAAAAAUUUUUUUGUGUAGUAUAUGUGGUAAGUUUGUAUGAGACCAUAACGCAAGUUAUUUGUUUAAACAUUAAUGAAAUACCACUCUUAAAAAUUUUUGUUACUCAUUUUUUAAACAGUUUAUAAUGGGUAGUUUGACUGGGGCGGUCGCCUCCUAAAAAGUAACGGAGGCGUAUGAAGGUAAGCUCAAAUUGAAAAAAAUCAAUUGUAGAACAUAAUAGUAUAAUGCUUGCCUAACUGAUAGAUUGACUGAUCGAACAGAGACGAAAGUCGAUUAUAGUGAUCCGGUGACUCUGUGUGGAAAAGGUUAUCGCUCAACGGAUAAAAGGUACGCCAGGGAUAACAGGCUAAUCACUCUUUAGAGACCCUAUCGAUGGAGUGGUUUGGCACCUCGAUGUUGGAUUAUCGCAUCCUGGAGCUGUAAGCGGUUCCAAGGGUUUGGCUGUUCGCCAAGAAAGGCGGUACAUGAUCUGAGUUUAGAACGUUGUAAAACAGUUUGGUCCCUAUCUACCGUAAGUGUUAAAAACUGAAAGGAGUAAACCCUAGUACGAGAGGACCGGGAAAAGUAAACCUCUGGUGUAUCGGUUGUCAUUUUAAUGGCACAGCCGAGUAGCUACGUUUAUAAUAGAUAAUUGCUGAAAGCAUCUAAGCAAGAAACUAACCUUAAAAAAAGUUUUUGAAAAGUCGCGAUAGAUUAUCGCGUGAUAGGCUUAAUGUGUAAGAACUGUAAAGUUUUUAGCUAAUAAGUACUAAAAUUU